CAGUGGUGUGUUUGUCCCCAUUUUGCAGAUGAGGAAACUGAGGCUUGGAGAGACCCAGGUCCUUGCCCAGGCCCCACACUACACCCAGGAGGGGCGGCGCUGGAGUCCUGCACCACGUCGCUGUUCUCACCAGGAGGAAGCCCUUGUUUGCUGCGUCCAGCGACCCCAUCUCCAUGCUGCAGGCAGGAGGACACAGCCGGGGCUCCUGGAAGCCUCUCGCGUUCCUGGGCUAGGGGCCCUUCCUCCAUCUCAGAGCCGGCCAUGGGGUGUCCCCUGACCUUCCGCAGCCAUGUCCCCCUUCGAUGGAGUUCUGCUUCUGGCCCUCCCUCCACACUGAAGGCCCCUGUGAUCACAUGACCCACCUGCCAAUCCAGGUGGCCUCCCUCCAAGGUCAGCCGGUGAGCUGCCUUCAUGCCUGCAUGGUGUCUCUGACCCUUGGCCACGCAACCUAACAUAGUCACAGGUCCUGGAGAUUUGCACUGGGAUAUCUUGGGUGAGGGGAAUUAUUCUGCUGACCCCCGAUGGCAACUGGAGUGGUGGGAGGGGAAGAGAACACCAGGAUGUGUUCAGAGAGAGAGGCGUGGACCUCAGGGGGUGUCAGGGGAAGAGGGCCCGGGAGGGAGAAAGCAUUUGGUUUAGACGUAUUGGGUGUGAGGUGCCCAUGGGACAGCAGGGUGGAGCUGGUGGGAGAAGCUAGGGGGCUGCCCUGGGGCUCUAGCACAUGGAGGCCAAGGAGGGAGUCGUGGGGUGGAGGGGGCACAGGGCUUCCCAAGGUCCUGGGUCUGCCUCAGGGCCGCUGCUACUCCGCACCCCUCCUCCCAUGCCUGAGCACCCACGGCAGUGACCAGCAGUGACCAUCAUCACCCAAUGAGGAUGGAGAGAAACUGAGGCUGGCCUGAGAUGUCCUGGGGAAUGAGCUGGCACCGGAGUCCCACAGGUGAAGGCUGAUGAAAUUCUAGGAGAGUCAUGUCCUAAAGGAUAAGAAGCAACUAUUUGUUGAGAUGAGAGACUUCAAAGAUAGUCAAUGAUCGUGAAAGUCGGCCAGCCUUUCUGGAUCAUCUCGUGCAAUUGCUCUAAUCUAUCCCUGUAAUAGAUCCCUUUAAUACACUUUGUCACAUGUUGAAUUUUCUUUUUAGUUUUUAGUUUUCUUUUGUUGUUGUUGUUGUUGUUUUCCCAUUUUUUUAAAUUAUUAUUAUUUUGGAGACAGAGUCUCACUCUGUCACCCAGGCUGGAGUGCAGUGGUGUGAUCUCAGUUCACUACACCCUCCGCCUCCCAGGUUCAAGCAAUUCUCCUGCCUCAGCCUCCUGAGUAGCUGGGGCUACAGGCACCCGCCAUUAUGCCCGGCUAAUUUUUGUAUUUUUAGUAGAGACAGGGUUUCACCAUGUUGGCCAGGCUGGUCUCAAACUCCUGACCUCAAGUGAUCCGCCCACCUCAGCCUCCCAAACUGUUGGGAUUACAGGCAUGAGCCACCACACCCAGGCCCAUUGUUUUUAAUUAUCAACGUUAUUUUUUACAAUUUGUUAUUCUAUGUAUUUCAUCUUUGCAUGAUUUCCAGUAAGGGAGGUAUAAAUUGUGUAAAGACUUUGAGAGUUCUAAUUUGUUGUAUGCAUUUUUUACAAAUGUGACUCCAUGAAAAUGAUUAUCACAACAUUGACUUUAUGUGUAAGCAUUGUGUGUGUGUGUGUGUACAUAAAAUCGUCAAAACUUCCUCAAUAAAUGAAGAGAUGUC
Molecule: long non-coding RNA, 1730 nt
Organism: Gorilla gorilla gorilla (western lowland gorilla)
Lineage: Eukaryota; Metazoa; Chordata; Mammalia; Primates; Hominidae
Exons: 3
Source: RefSeq, a predicted model, not a curated record